AUUGAACGCUGGCGGCAUGCUUUACACAUGCAAGUCGAACGGCAGCGCGGGCUUCGGCCUGGCGGCGAGUGGCGAACGGGUGAGUAAUACAUCGGAACGUGCCCAGUAGUGGGGGAUAGCUCGGCGAAAGCCGGAUUAAUACCGCAUACGACCUGAGGGUGAAAGCGGGGGAUCUUCGGACCUCGCGCUAUUGGAGCGGCCGAUGGCAGAUUAGCUAGUUGGUGGGGUAAAGGCCUACCAAGGCGACGAUCUGUAGCUGGUCUGAGAGGACGACCAGCCACACUGGGACUGAGACACGGCCCAGACUCCUACGGGAGGCAGCAGUGGGGAAUUUUGGACAAUGGGCGAAAGCCUGAUCCAGCAAUGCCGCGUGUGUGAUGAAGGCCUUCGGGUUGUAAAGCACUUUUGGCGGGAACGAAAAGGACUGUGCCAAUACCACGGUUCGAUGACGGUACCCGCAGAAUAAGUACCGGCUAACUACGUG
This 484-nucleotide ribosomal RNA is filed under the name uncultured bacterium. Its description in RNAcentral is "partial 16S ribosomal RNA". It matches the Rfam family "Bacterial small subunit ribosomal RNA", at positions 29 to 507 of the family's 1533-position model. The record is from RNAcentral.